UCUCGUGCGUGCUGGCGUGCAGACGGGUCGUACACACAGUGCCCAGCACUCGCGCGGGCAAAUCACCCUCUCGCAAUAUUUUUUUCGCUAGCAGUUUUUUUCUAUUUUGCCGUUUUUCGAUUUAAAGUGGCCAAAGUACCAAAUAAAUAGAAUUUUCAAAUCAUUUUAGCACAGUGAUGGGCGAGGUGUUGCAUAUAUACUCCAGCUUGGGAGGGCUAAUAGAAAGUCAAAAAUCGAGCUAGAUAUACAUAGUGAGCAGACAUUAAAAUUGUUGUAAUUAGUUAGGUUUGUUUAGAUUAGUUUUAUAAUUAAUCAGCAUUAGAGUAAUUAUUAAGAUUAGACUCUGUGUAUAAAUACUUAAUUUCUCAUUAAUGAAAACAAGUUAUUCAUUUUUCAAGAACCCCCUAUAUUCUUCCUCUCUCUUGAACUCCCUGCCUGUCACACAUUUUCAUAUUUAUAAAGAAAAAUUUCACCAUUUUUCUUUUAUUUUUUGGAAGAUUUUAAGUUUUAACAUUCCCUUCUACAUUUCCUUUCUAUUUAGAGUAGUUUUAUUUUUUUACCCAAUAACUGUUUAUCGAUGUACAUCUUUUGCAGAUUAAAUUUUAGUUUCUACUUGGGGUUUCUUUCUUAAUUAAAUUGCUUUUCCAUGUAUAUGUUUUGCUUAAUGUGAAUCUUUUGUUACAAAAGUAUGGUACUUCAACUUAGCUAAUGCUACACAAUCUUUAACUGAUUAGCAUAAUACUUCAAAUCAUUUAGUGCUACAAAAUAUGAAUGCAUUGACUCUGUAUUUAAUAAUCUACUAACUUCUAAAGUAACAUUGUACGAUUAUUUUUUGUUAAUUAUUUCAUAAUUUUCAAGUCUAUUUUAUGUUUUGGAAUUUGUAACAUAUGAAAAAUUUAUAUGAUAUUGAUCUGCACCAUGGGGAAAAAAAUAUUUUUAAGCCAAAUCCUAGAUAUGUUAGAGGGAAAUAUGUG
This 974-nucleotide long non-coding RNA is filed under the name Carica papaya (papaya). RNAcentral describes it as "long non-coding RNA (CPAP_LNC005088)". Lineage: Eukaryota; Viridiplantae; Streptophyta; Magnoliopsida; Brassicales; Caricaceae. The record is from RNAcentral.